This 87-nucleotide transfer RNA is filed under the name Stenotrophomonas maltophilia. RNAcentral's name for it is "tRNA-Tyr". It matches the Rfam family "tRNA". From Rfam's summary of the family: Transfer RNA (tRNA) molecules are approximately 80 nucleotides in length. Their secondary structure includes four short double-helical elements and three loops (D, anti-codon, and T loops). Further hydrogen bonds mediate the characteristic L-shaped molecular structure. tRNAs have two regions of fundamental functional importance: the anti-codon, which is responsible for specific mRNA codon recognition, and the 3' end, to which the tRNAs corresponding amino acid is attached (by aminoacyl-tRNA synthetases). tRNAs cope with the degeneracy of the genetic code in two manners: having more than one tRNA (with a specific anti-codon) for a particular amino acid; and 'wobble' base-pairing, i.e. permitting non-standard base-pairing at the 3rd anti-codon position. The record is from RNAcentral. Lineage: Bacteria; Pseudomonadati; Pseudomonadota; Gammaproteobacteria; Lysobacterales; Lysobacteraceae. RNAcentral also lists the same sequence under 1 other name.
GGAGGGAUACCCAAGCGGCCAACGGGGGGCAGACUGUAAAUCUGCUGGCUUACGCCUUCGGUGGUUCGAAUCCACCUCCCUCCACCA